Molecule: transfer RNA, 65 nt
Filed under: Priasilpha obscura
Lineage: Eukaryota; Metazoa; Arthropoda; Insecta; Coleoptera; Phloeostichidae
Description: tRNA-Thr
Rfam family: tRNA
About the family: Transfer RNA (tRNA) molecules are approximately 80 nucleotides in length. Their secondary structure includes four short double-helical elements and three loops (D, anti-codon, and T loops).
Source: RNAcentral
GUUUUAAUAAUUUAAUGUAAAAUAUUGGUCUUGUAAAUCAAAAAUAAGAAUUUCCUUUUAAAACA